CCAGCAGCCGCGGUAAUACGUAGGGUGCAAGCGUUAAUCGGAAUUACUGGGCGUAAAGCGUGCGCAGGCGGUUAUAUAAGUCAGAUGUGAAAUCCCCGGGCUCAACCUGGGCACUGCAUUUGAGACUGUAUGGCUAGAGUGUGUCAGAGGGGGGUAGAAUUCCACGUGUAGCAGUGAAAUGCGUAGAUAUGUGGAGGAACACCGAUGGCGAAGGCAGCCCCCUGGGAUAAGACUGACGCUCAUGUACGAAAGCGUGGGGAGCAAACAGGAUUAGAUACCCUGGUA
RNAcentral lists this ribosomal RNA (285 nucleotides) under uncultured beta proteobacterium. RNAcentral describes it as "partial 16S ribosomal RNA". It matches the Rfam family "Bacterial small subunit ribosomal RNA", at positions 508 to 792 of the family's 1533-position model. The record is from RNAcentral. Lineage: Bacteria; Pseudomonadati; Pseudomonadota; Betaproteobacteria.